Molecule: ribosomal RNA, 433 nt
Filed under: uncultured bacterium
Lineage: Bacteria
Description: partial 16S ribosomal RNA
Rfam family: Bacterial small subunit ribosomal RNA
Source: RNAcentral
AGCGAACGCUGGCGGCAUGCCUAACACAUGCAAGUCGAACGAGACCUUCGGGUCUAGUGGCGCACGGGUGCGUAACGCGUGGGAAUCUGCCCUUGGGUUCGGAAUAACAGUGAGAAAUUACUGCUAAUACCGGAUGAUGUCUUCGGACCAAAGAUUUAUCGCCCAGGGAUGAGCCCGCGUAGGAUUAGCUAGUUGGUGGGGUAAUGGCCUACCAAGGCGACGAUCCUUAGCUGGUCUGAGAGGAUGAUCAGCCACACUGGGACUGAGACACGGCCCAGACUCCUACGGGAGGCAGCAGUGGGGAAUAUUGGACAAUGGGCGCAAGCCUGAUCCAGCAAUGCCGCGUGAGUGAUGAAGGCCUUAGGGUUGUAAAGCUCUUUUACCCGGGAUGAUAAUGACAGUACCGGGAGAAUAAGCUCCGGCUAACUCCGUG